CUCCUGGGCGCAGAGGCUACGCCGGCAGCCGUCUCUUAGGAGAUUUCUCCGCAGUGGGGACGGGGGUCAGGAUUUGCAGGCGAGCAAGGACAGAGAGGAGAAAUCGUACAGGGAGAAAAGAUCCUGUUUCCAGUUCAAGAUGGAGACCUAAGAGGAUCCUGAACUCCCCUCCUCCGCGAAAGCAUGAAAUCCACAGCUACCUGAGGAACAUCUUCCUCUGAAAACAAAACAAAACAAAAAACAGAAACAAAAACAAAACCCGAAACAGCGUCUGAGAGACUCCUACUUGUCAGUUAAAUAUAGAUGGUGCUGGAAGGUGCCUGAAAUAAAACCACCAUGAUCGUGUCAGCAUUACUGGAUUAGACAGAUGUUUGUGAAACUACUGCAGUAUUCUUUCUCAUCUCUGCUUUGUCUGUGUCUGUGAUGCCUGAAGGUUAGCGCCGAAGACCCAAAGGUGGGGGUUCCCGUGGGACCAACCAAAAGGGCACCCUCCUUGGCUUCAUGCAGAAUGGAAAUUGAGCAUGAGUCAGCAGGAGGUGGCAGGGGAUAUAUGGUUGUCUCUGGGGACAUAUUCUUAUAGCUCUUGGCAAGAAAAGACAGAAGAAGGACUGUGAUUGGACUGACUUAAAGGACACUGCUGUCCUGACCCUUCACUAGGGCCAGCUGUGUGAGAUAAGCACAGUCUGCAUUCUCAGCUAAUCCCUUUGCCUUCAGGACUAGGAGAAGAGAGAGAAAAGAAAACAGGAAAAGGAGACAAGAUGGGGUAUAUUUAUACAAGUUCUCUCAUCCCUACUUCCUUCACUUACUUUAGUGUUGAUGCCACAAUUAUGAACUUUUCUAAUCGAAUGGACCUUGAUAAUACCUCCUGGGAAAUGUCUUAAGGAUGCCACAUUCAAGACUGAAUGGCCAAUGUAUGAAUGUUUCAGAAUUUAGGAAUAUUUGGGGGAAGUUGCAACAAAUUUUUUUCAGUGAAAGUAUGCAUGCUUUUGCUUUGUGACAUCUUCCUCAAUGAAAACCUACAUAAAAUUUUAUAUUUCAAAGCCCUAAAGAUGAAAUACAUUUUGAAAAAUCCCCUGUGAGGUAGUAUCUGUAAAUUCAUGGUUAUUUUCACCCCAUAAAGAAGUAAACAUCAUCACAUUCCUCAUGAAAAACUCCAGCAAGAGCCAUUGGCAUGGUUUGAAUAUAAACAUUUAGCAACUAAAUGACUUUAGCAAGCUACAAUCCCUGUGCUCAGCAAUUUAAAGGAAAUCAGCAGCUUAACCAAGGUUUUUGUUGUUGUUGUUUUUUGUUUUUUGUUUUUUGUUUUUUUGCUGAGCAAUUGGGGGUUAAAAAUAAAACACUAUUACAUCAAACUGCAGACACACAAAAAUCUGAAUAAGUUCGCUAUCUUCUCAGGGCAUUUCUGUACCUAAUGAGCACAGCUGAGCCCAAAGGCGUCAAGAUGUUUCUCAACAUUAGGCAAUGGGGUGAAGGAUUAUCUAUUAAUUCCUGGGUGGUCAUCGUGAGUUCUUUGGGGUAAAAUAGGGGAAGAUCAAAAGAGGAUGUAAAUAUUUUUUAAUCAAUGAAAGAGGGAAUCGAUUCAUUCCUCUGACCUUUUUGAUUGCAGGGGAGAUACAUUAUCUGCAUUAAUUAGCAUGUUGAAAAAUUCCUUCUGGAUUGCCAAGUCCCUUCCUAUGAGUCGUGGGAAGUAUGUUUGUAACAUGAUGUGCAGCCUUCUGUCAUACAGAGCUGAUUUUUUGGACUUCAUCUUGGAGUACGCAUGAAAUGUGAAACAGCUUAGCGAGUUGUGUCACAUUAGUCUUUCUAAUUGCUGAAAAAGGUUAACAUUUGUCUAACAACAUUAAUGCUCAGGGCUUGGGUUUUGAAAUGCCAGUUUGCUUAAGAUACUG
This is a long non-coding RNA of Mustela erminea (ermine), 1889 nucleotides long. RefSeq lists it as uncharacterized. The record is from RefSeq and is a predicted model, not a curated record. The transcript has 6 exons. Lineage: Eukaryota; Metazoa; Chordata; Mammalia; Carnivora; Mustelidae.